RNAcentral lists this long non-coding RNA (223 nucleotides) under Elaeis guineensis (African oil palm). Its description in RNAcentral is "long non-coding RNA (EGUI_LNC075908)". Lineage: Eukaryota; Viridiplantae; Streptophyta; Magnoliopsida; Arecales; Arecaceae. The record is from RNAcentral.
GCAUGUAUCCAAAAUUGAAAUCUAAAAUUCAGCAAGUAUACAUCAUAUCUAUGUAUAAUUAAAUCAUAUCUAAUUAAUAUUUAGAUCACAUCUAAAUAUUAAUUGAGAUCAAAAUCUCAUACCUGAGCAUGGAUAGUAGAUCACUACAUCUGAAAUCCGUGAUACUUGAUUCUUCAUGAUGCUUGACAGUCGUACAUACAUCCGACCUCUACGGAUAUCCACA